This 66-nucleotide transfer RNA is filed under the name Penaeus duorarum (pink shrimp). RNAcentral's name for it is "tRNA-Gly". It matches the Rfam family "tRNA". From Rfam's summary of the family: Transfer RNA (tRNA) molecules are approximately 80 nucleotides in length. Their secondary structure includes four short double-helical elements and three loops (D, anti-codon, and T loops). The record is from RNAcentral. Lineage: Eukaryota; Metazoa; Arthropoda; Malacostraca; Decapoda; Penaeidae.
GCCUUUUUAGUAUAAUAGUAUAUUUGGCUUCCAACCAGAAGGUCUAGAAACUUUCUAGAAAAGGCA